UCCAUUGCUCAGUUGGUAAAGCACAAAGCUCUUAACCUUGUGGACAUGGGUUCAAGCCCUAAAAUGGAG
Molecule: transfer RNA, 69 nt
Filed under: Triticum aestivum (bread wheat)
Lineage: Eukaryota; Viridiplantae; Streptophyta; Magnoliopsida; Poales; Poaceae
Also listed under: 1 other name
Rfam family: tRNA
About the family: Transfer RNA (tRNA) molecules are approximately 80 nucleotides in length. Their secondary structure includes four short double-helical elements and three loops (D, anti-codon, and T loops). Further hydrogen bonds mediate the characteristic L-shaped molecular structure. tRNAs have two regions of fundamental functional importance: the anti-codon, which is responsible for specific mRNA codon recognition, and the 3' end, to which the tRNAs corresponding amino acid is attached (by aminoacyl-tRNA synthetases). tRNAs cope with the degeneracy of the genetic code in two manners: having more than one tRNA (with a specific anti-codon) for a particular amino acid; and 'wobble' base-pairing, i.e. permitting non-standard base-pairing at the 3rd anti-codon position.
Source: Rfam by way of RNAcentral